UGGGGACUGGCCCAGCUCGCGGAGAGCUGGAGGGGGUAUUCCUGUAAGCUGUGAACUCAUCCACAGGUGGCCUGGAAAUUCUCACUCCUAAGGCACAAGGGAACCUCUCUCUUGCCCACUGGGUCCUCAGUAGCUUGAACACAGACCUGUGGCUUCUCUCCCUGUGUCCUCCUCUGCAUCCUUGACAUCACCCUUCUCUGGAGGGCCCGGACUUUCCAGAGUCUACUGGAAGCUCUCAUAUGAACUGGGGAAUCUAUCACUGGGUUCUCACAUGGAUUUGGGGUAUGUGCCAGUUCUGAUGGGGCUGUGAGUCUGAGCUGGGUCACGCUGGGAACUAGCACUUCCCACGUGCAGUGGGGUUGGUGCCGUGGCUGGGCUGUGCUGCAGCCUGCUCUGGGAAGCCAACACAGCCUCUUUCCAGAGCCUGUUUUCCAGAAGGAUCUGGCACCUGGAGGCCUGGAGAAGACUCCCAUAGGAAUGCUAGGUAGAGCAUCCUGCAAGCACUUGUGAUGGAGUGAGGUUGAUAUGGCUUGGAUGUUUUUUCCCCCCUCCAAAUCUCAUGUCAGAAUGUGAUCUCCAAUGUUGGAGGUGGGGCCUGGUGGAGGGUGUUUGGGUCAUGGGGGGUGGAUUCCUCAUGAAUGGCUUGGUGCCCACCCUGCAGUAAUGAGUUCAUGGGAGAUCUGGUUGUUAAAGAAACUGACAUCUCCUCCUUGCUGUCUUGCUCCCUCUCUCCCUACGUGACACGCCAGCUCCCCGCUUGCUUUCUGCCACUAGGAAAACUUCCUGAGGCCUCCCCAGAAGAAGCCGAGCAGACGCUGGUGCUGUGCUUGAGUAGCCUGCAGAACCAUAAGCCAAAUAAAC
Molecule: long non-coding RNA, 861 nt
Filed under: Homo sapiens (human)
Lineage: Eukaryota; Metazoa; Chordata; Mammalia; Primates; Hominidae
Description: HSALNT0397379
Source: RNAcentral